UACGUAGGGUGCGAGCGUUGCCCGGAUUUAUUGGGCGUAAAGGGCGCGUAGGCGGCCACGCACGUCCGUUGUGAAAUCGCCCGGCUCAACUGGGCGGGGUCAGCGGAUACGGUGUGGCUCGAGCAAGCUAGGGGGCAAUGGAAUUCCCGGUGUAGUGGUGGAAUGCGUAGAUAUCAGGAGGAACACCGGUGGUGUAGACGGCUUUCUGGACCGUAACUGACGCUGAGACACGAAAGCGUGGGUAGCAAACAGG
Molecule: ribosomal RNA, 253 nt
Filed under: uncultured bacterium
Lineage: Bacteria
Description: partial 16S ribosomal RNA
Rfam family: Bacterial small subunit ribosomal RNA
Source: RNAcentral